AGGGUGACUUAGCGGCGGACGGGUGAGUAACGCGUGGGCAACCUGCCUUACACAGGGGAUAACAAUUAGAAAUGAUUGCUAAUACCGCAUAAGACCCCGGUACCGCAUGGUACAGGGUAAAAACUGAGGUGGUGUAAGAUGGGCCCGCGUCUGAUUAGGUAGUUGGUGGGGUAGAAGCCUACCAAGCCGACGAUCAGUAGCCGACCUGAGAGGGCGACCGGCCACAUUGGGACUGAGACACGGCCCAAACUCCUACGGAAGGCAGCAG
RNAcentral lists this ribosomal RNA (268 nucleotides) under uncultured bacterium. RNAcentral's name for it is "partial 16S ribosomal RNA". It matches the Rfam family "Bacterial small subunit ribosomal RNA", at positions 84 to 354 of the family's 1533-position model. The record is from RNAcentral.